CUAAUUCACAUUUCAAAUCGCUCUAAUACAACACGAGAUAUAGACAAGAAUAUUUUUAUUACUAUAUAAAUCAUGGAAAAGUGGAAACAACAAACUUAAACAGUAUAUUACAUAUCAAUCUUAAACAAGAAAUAUAAAGGUAAAUAUAUAGUACAAAGCAUAAAGACAUCAAUACAUAAUAAAUACAACCUACACAACUAAUCCUCUUCUUCUGAAGACUCUCCACUAAAC
Molecule: long non-coding RNA, 231 nt
Filed under: Capsicum annuum
Lineage: Eukaryota; Viridiplantae; Streptophyta; Magnoliopsida; Solanales; Solanaceae
Description: long non-coding RNA (CANN_LNC006366)
Source: RNAcentral